UGUGCACAGGUGGUGAUCUUAGUGGCUGCCACUAAGGUCAUACCCUGUCAGAAUCCCAAAGACAGGCCAGUACAGAUGCCUCAGUACUAACACUAGCACGGAGACAGCUACCAAGGACAGUAGCAGUUAUGGUGUGAAGCCAGCCUUAGCCUAACCCCAGCCCACAAAACAAGCUGUGUGUGCUCAGCUGGAAGGCUGGAGAAGUGCAGCUGCCCAGGUUGUUUGAAGCCAGCGGAUCCAAAGUGCCAGCUGUGCCCCCCCCACUUUUCUUCCUCCAGAGGAUGAAGCCAGGACCCUCAUUAUCCUGACUGUGGAUUGCAAACUCAUGAGCUAAAACAAAGAUUUAAUCAUACACUGGCCAGACUCAGGAGCUUGGAAGAUAAGGAAAAGCAGUGCAGAUGAUGGAGACCUGGAGGGAAGCAAAGACUCCACCAGAAUGUUUGUGUGAAGAAUAAUUUCAGCUGGAGCUGAAGAAUCAACUGUGAUUAACAAGAAACCAGAACCACUAAAGUAAAUCCUUUGCUGGUCAGCUGGGGCUGAAGGAUCAGCUGAGAUUAAGAAGAGACCUGCAUCAUUGAGGUGAAGCCUUCUGGGAAGUGCUUCCUCAGGAUCAGCACACAGAAGCUGUGUUCCAGAAGUGGCUAAGAUUGUACCUCAUACUGGCAUCCAAACUUGGUGUUGUAAGUCACCCAGGUGCUACUGGUUUUGAAAGAUUGAAGGUGUUAUGGAGAACAGCUGAGCCUUGGCACUAUGUGGCAGGGAUGCAGUCCCUGGAUAGAGAUCAGGAGAUGCUAUUGGUGAAAGUGCAGCCCAGUGACAUCAAGGAACCCCUGAAGUCUUAAAAAUGCCAGUACUGUGGGAUGACCAAGAAGAGUCGCAGUUACAGAAUGGAGUCAGUGGAAGAUGAAGAGAGAAAAGCUGGAGAAGUGACCCAAGCCCCUCAUAGGAGCCUAGAAGACGGGUGAAGACAAUUUGCUGUGAUUCCUAUUUUGUUGUGUGGUGUGUCUGAGUCACAACUAUAAACAUUUGGUACUGUUUCACCUGAGUUUGGUCCUACAUAUUGGAAGACCCAGUGUCUCCUGCAGUAGUGCAUCUAUUCUGUGACUGUAAUGUAGCAUCACUAGAAUUGAUGGUAGCAUUUCUGGCUUCCACCUAUGUCAUCUUUAUUUUGAAGACGUCUCACUCAAGUCCUCACUCAGACCAUUUAAUACUUUUCUACAAAAAGAAACAGAUUUCCCACUAGUGCUUCCUGGAGAAUUCAUUUCGGCGUUUGGCAAUGUGAUGAUGUGACAGACAAGGAAAGCAACCUUCUCCAAGAGCUGGGACAGUGGAUGCAAAUCAGUCAUCUCAGCAGUGGAUUCCAGACUUCACAGCGAGACAGGAGGGGAGACCAACUCGUAUGUGACAAGACUCUUUCAAGUGGAUUUGCUUUCAAUGGAGGAUGGUGGUGAUAUUGAUACAGGAAGAAAAUUAACAGUUGAACCAAAGUCUAUCAAAGGUGCUUGUUCAAACCUUGGCUCUCUGCCAAGUCAAGUAUGGUUCAGCAGAAUCUAUAUAGGCUUUUGGAUUUCCUUCUGAAAUUUUUGCUUUGAACAUAGAUAACCUAUAGAAUUAAAUAAAUGAUAGAUGGCCUAAACAUUGCUAAAGUUCAAAGAUAAAUGAAUGUCAAAUAUUCAUGUUUGGAGAUGAGUCCAAGAAAAUGGUAGAGAAAUACAACUUUCCAAAUUUUUAAAUACUGU
Long non-coding RNA from Mesocricetus auratus (golden hamster), 1739 nucleotides. RefSeq lists it as uncharacterized. The transcript is spliced from 5 exons. The record is from RefSeq and is a predicted model, not a curated record. Lineage: Eukaryota; Metazoa; Chordata; Mammalia; Rodentia; Cricetidae.